RNAcentral lists this non-coding RNA (19 nucleotides) under Mus musculus (house mouse). The record is from RNAcentral. Lineage: Eukaryota; Metazoa; Chordata; Mammalia; Rodentia; Muridae.
UGUGAAGAAAGCCGAUGGA